Molecule: non-coding RNA, 142 nt
Filed under: bovine gut metagenome
Description: FMN riboswitch (RFN element)
Rfam family: FMN riboswitch aptamer (RFN element)
About the family: The RFN element is a highly conserved domain that is found frequently in the 5'-untranslated regions of prokaryotic mRNAs that encode for flavin mononucleotide (FMN) biosynthesis and transport proteins. This element is a metabolite-dependent riboswitch that directly binds FMN in the absence of proteins.
Source: RNAcentral
AUUCUUCGGGGCGGGGUGAGAUUCCCCACCGGCGGUGUUUUCCUGAGGUGAUCUUACAUUUACCCGGGGAUGAGCCCGCAAGCUUUAUGCACGAUCCGGUGUGAUUCCGGAGCCGACGGUCAUAGUCCGGAUGAGAGAAGAG